UACGAACCGGACAAACGUUAUUCGGAAUCACUGGGCUUAAAGAGUGCGUAGGCGGCUUACCAGGUUGGGUGUGAAAUCCCUCGGCUCAACCGAGGAAUUGCGCCCAAAACUGGUAGGCUCGAGGAAGGCAGGGGUAAGCGGAACUGAUGGUGGAGCGGUGAAAUGCGUUGAUAUCAUCAGGAACACCAGUGGCGAAGGCGGCUUACUGGGCCUUUACUGACGCUGAGGCACGAAAGCUAGGGGAGCGAACGGG
RNAcentral lists this ribosomal RNA (253 nucleotides) under uncultured bacterium. RNAcentral describes it as "partial 16S ribosomal RNA". It matches the Rfam family "Bacterial small subunit ribosomal RNA", at positions 524 to 776 of the family's 1533-position model. The record is from RNAcentral.